This 440-nucleotide ribosomal RNA is filed under the name uncultured bacterium. RNAcentral describes it as "partial 16S ribosomal RNA". It matches the Rfam family "Bacterial small subunit ribosomal RNA", at positions 338 to 795 of the family's 1533-position model. The record is from RNAcentral.
CCUAGGGAGGCAGCAGUGGGGAAUAUUGCACAAUGGGGGAAACCCUGAUGCAGCAACGCCGCGUGAAGGAAGACGGUUUUCGGAUUGUAAACUUCUGUUCUUAGUGAAGAAUAAUGACGGUAGCUAAGGAGCAAGCCACGGCUAACUACGUGCCAGCAGCCGCGGUAAUACGUAGGUGGCGAGCGUUGUCCGGAAUUACUGGGUGUAAAGGGAGUGUAGGCGGGAAAGCAAGUCAGAAGUGAAAACUAUGGGCUUAACCCAUAGCCUGCUUUUGAAACUGUUUUUCUUGAGUGAAGUAGAGGCAAGCGGAAUUCCUGGUGUAGCGGUGAAAGGCGUAGAUAUUAGGGGGAACACCAGUGGCGAAGGCGGCUUGCUGGGCUUUUACUGACGCUGAGGCUCGAAAGCGUGGGGAGCAAACAGGAUUAGAUACCCUGGUAGUC